Molecule: long non-coding RNA, 228 nt
Filed under: Lathyrus oleraceus (garden pea)
Lineage: Eukaryota; Viridiplantae; Streptophyta; Magnoliopsida; Fabales; Fabaceae
Description: Pisum sativum (pea) long non-coding RNA (PSAT_LNC017832)
Source: RNAcentral
AAAAAUCAUUUUUAGAAACUAGAAUUAAAAAGAGAAAUAAUGCAAUUGGUCCCAUAUUUUUUGGAAUUAAAAUGAGAGAGUUAUGAAUUUUUGAAGUUAAAUGAAAUAAAAGAAAAAAAAUGCAAAUUAAAUCAGAAAAUGAAAAAUGCUAAAAAUCCAGGCGCGUUAGAUCCAAUUCAUUAAAUUAUCUGGCAUAUCAAACGGCUGUGGCAUGCGCGCGCAUCAUGG